Schizosaccharomyces pombe (fission yeast) is the source of this 1681-nucleotide non-coding RNA. NCBI's taxonomy places the organism in Eukaryota, Fungi, Ascomycota, Schizosaccharomycetes, Schizosaccharomycetales, Schizosaccharomycetaceae. The record is from the annotation of a GenBank genome assembly.
CCAAUGCUUGAUUUCCUCUUCUUUCUUACUUGUCUAGGGGAGGACACUGUCAUUAAAGAUGGAUUAACUGAUUUCUGCUGAUUAGGCAAAGAAACGGGAUUCGAACCAAACGUGUUCCCGUUGGAUGCUUCAAUGGGUGACGUUAGAUUCGAAAUAUUUGUAAAUUCAUCAAAAACGGGAUUUGAGUCCGGGAAAACAUCCUCAUUUGGAGGAAUGUUUAAUACGCUGUCAAGAUCAGAUGAUACAGGCAAGUUCAAGUUGGUGGGUGAAUUAGCAGAAAACCCAGCAUCAUCAAUCUUUCCGUCACCCAGCGGGAUACCUAAAAUAUCCGCCAACGCUUGUAUAUUCUGAUCCUGCUUCGUAAUUCCAUCUGAUAACUUAGAAAUUCUUUUUUGAUCCAUGGCAUAGCCUGGGUGGAAGUUUGUAAGUUGAUCUUCUGCAUUAUAGGAACCGUAGGACGGAUUCGAAUUUGACAUAUAAUCAACUGGUUGAACAGGUUGCAAAUUAGUCGAUUCCGACAAAUUUCCAGAAGGUUGGGAAUUUGACACCGAUCCUCUGUAAGAGUUAUGGUGCUGUUCAGAAGAAGUGUUGUUAACCGGAUAAAGUGAAUUGGGAUAGUCGAAAAGAAGAGGUGACAGGGAAUUCAUAUUCGAUCCUUCAAUACUAUUGGCAUCAUCUAACAUAUUGAUAAUAUCACCAGUGUUCACGACUUUAGGAUCAGUGGUAUCAUCUCGAUUUAAUGAGGGUACAUCCGUAUUAGGUGAUUGAUUGGGAGAAAUGUAUGAGUCAAUCGAAUUGUUAAAGGAAUCGGCAGAUUCCUUUUUAAGUCCUGGCUCAUUCGUAUAGCUUUGAGAAAUAUAAUCCUUCGGUGAAUGCGAAUCCGAAUUAAAAGAAGAAACAUAAUUUAAAGCUCGUCCAUUUUGAACGGAUCUGUAUUUGCCCUCUCCAUCAGGAGUCGUAUUGUGUAAAGAGGAGAUACUAGCACUACUAGAAUUAGCAGUAGUACCUUGAGGUGAAGGCCUUGAAUGCGCAGACGGUUCAUUCGUAGGUGAAACCGUAGGAUAUUUAGCUUCUAAUAAGAGCCGACGACUUUUGGGCAUAACUUUGCUAGGUGGCUUCUGUUUACCAUCCAAAUAUACACUGGCAAGAAAACGAAGGAUCUUAUCAAUCGUCUCUUGAUGGCGACGUUGUCUCUCGCGAUUUUCCAUAUUUUCCUGCCAAAGAGCUGCGUUAUCGACUUGGAUCCUACUGAGUUCGUUCGACAAAUUCAUCUGCUGGAUGCGAAUAUUCUGUAGCUCAGAGGAUAUCGUAGACAUGUCUAAACUGGUAUUUGAUUCUUCAACGGGUUGGCUACCGGCCUUUUUUCGCGUUACUAGGCAUAGUAAUUCAGGUUGGUCACGUUGAAAGUUUGGAUUUGCAAACUCGAGAAGCUCGUUGGGACUAUCGGAUUGUAAAACACCUUGCUGUAUAUGAGGGACUUUAUGAAAGCCGUACACUGUAAAAAGUUAGUAAACCAAAAAAAAAAAAAAAUGAAUGUAAUAAAAUGAGAUGCGAAGGACAAGAAAAGAUAGAAAAGGGCUUGACAAAGACUAAUUAGAUAAAUAAUCAAUAAUUCCGAAGUAUUGCAAUAUUUUUCAUAUCGUCGAAAAGUGGAACGGAAGAACAAUCGAAAGAGAUAGUC